GUCUUUUUGAAAAUAAUUUAAAGUCUAAUCUGCCCACUGAACAAAGUUUAAAGGGCUGCAGUAUAUUGACUGUACAAAGGUAGCAUAAUCAAUAGUCUUUUAAUUGAAGACUUGUAUGAAUGAUUUGAUGAGAUAUAAACUGUCUCUUUAUUAAAAGUAGAAAUUAAUUUUUUAGUUAAAAAGCUAAAAUAAAUAUAAAAGACGAGAAGACCCUAUAGAGUUUAAUAUUUAUUUUUAUUUAAAUUUUGUAUAAAUUUUAAGAUUUAAAUUAAAUAAAAUAUUUUAUUGGGGUGAUAGAAAAAUUUAUGAAACUUUUUUUAUAAAAUUAACAUUGAUUUAUGAGUAUAUGAUCCAUUAAUUAUGAUUACAAGAAUAAAUUACCUUAGGGAUAACAGCGUAAUUUUUUUUUUUUAGUUCAAAUAAAAAUUAAAGUUUGCGACCUCGAUGUUGGAUUAAGAUAAAAUUUAAAUGCAAACGUUUAAAAUUUUGAUCUGUUCGAUCAUUAAAAUCUUACA
Molecule: ribosomal RNA, 515 nt
Filed under: Colotis antevippe
Lineage: Eukaryota; Metazoa; Arthropoda; Insecta; Lepidoptera; Pieridae
Description: partial 16S ribosomal RNA
Source: RNAcentral